UCCCACCCCAGGAUCUCUCCUCUCCUCUCCUCCACAUCCGCCGCACCCAGCCACCCAUCCCCCGCCGCCGCCUACCUCCACUCCACCGGCGACAUCCGCCCUCUGCCCCCGAUCCUCUCCACCUCCCCUCACCUUCUAUCCCACAGCGGGGCCCCUAGAUCGAGGAGGCGGGCGCCGUCAGAUCCGCCAUGCCCACAGCUCUCUCUGCCCCACCCCAAACCCUACCCACAACCGCCGCCAUGCUCCAUCACCAGCGACCUUGCCGCCGCCACCCCUAUCCCCUCGCCCUAUCUCCAUACCCGCGACGCCGAGCCGGACGGGAGGAGCCACCGCCCCACAGCACGCUCGCACCGAUACGUACAGGCGGUGCCCCCACCAGAUCUGAACAAGAACACCGAGUGGUUCAUGUACCUGGCGUUCCUAGAUCCAUCCGCCCCACCCUCUGCUCACCCUAUCUCCCUCGGUGUUGGGGCAUCCAGAUCGAGCAGGUCAGGUGCCGGCGCUCCACGAUCUCCAUGCGAUGCGCCGGCGAGGCGACGGUGAUGCUUGUGGUGGACGCCUCCGCCGUCUUCCACCGACACACAGCCGCGCCCUCCGACGCCGCUCUUCCACGCGACGAGAGGCCUGGGUGCCGCUCGGCUAGGACAGAACCCCGCGCUCGACGAUGCCAUGGACAUGGAGGUCUUCAAGGUCUUUAUGAAGCUUUGGAACUGAGGGACGAUGGAUCUGACUACUUGGGAAAGGGUGUUUCCAAGGGGGUGGCCGCGGUAGCGAGCGGCGCGAGUUGGUGGCUGAGGGACUCGACGGCAUGGCUCAUAUAUGCGCGAGCUGGGCAUUACUUUGAGUUCAUAUAUGUGCUUGUCACUCCAUAGGCCUUGGACAAGAUCAGUACGGUGCCGAUGGAGGCCCUCGCCGCCGGCGCCGAUGUGUCCAUGAUUGGGCAGUUUGGUGUUGGCUUCUACUCCGCCUACCUUGUUGCCGAGAGGGUCGUCGUCACCAUGAAGCACAACAACGACAGGCAGUACGUGUGGGAGUCCCAGGCCGGUAGCUCCUUCACCGUCACUCGUGAUACAUUUGGGGAGCAGCUCGGCAGGGGUACCAAUAUGGUCGUCUACCUCAAGGACGACUAGGUUAUUUGCAUCUUGAUUAGGAGAUGAUGGUGAUCAUCUUUUGUUGCGGGGAACCUGUUAGAUAAAGUUUAUGUGAUUUGAACCUGCAAGAUACAGUUCUGUAUAAUGUUGUGUGAGAUAAAAGUUAUGUACUUGUGAACAUAGGAGAUAAGUUAUUGAUAUGUGUUGGUCUGUCUAAUGUUAUGCGAGAUAAAGUUGUGUGAGAAAGUUUUCUAUACUUGUGUUAUUACUGUGGGAAAGAAGUACUGUUACUAUACUGAUUUGAGAAUAUUGGCUGUAAAUAAAAGAGGGCUUGGCCCACUAUUGGAUUGUAA
This is a long non-coding RNA of Triticum urartu, 1444 nucleotides long. RefSeq lists it as uncharacterized. Lineage: Eukaryota; Viridiplantae; Streptophyta; Magnoliopsida; Poales; Poaceae. The record is from RefSeq and is a predicted model, not a curated record.